This 1246-nucleotide ribosomal RNA is filed under the name Clover phyllody phytoplasma. RNAcentral's name for it is "bacterial SSU rRNA". It matches the Rfam family "Bacterial small subunit ribosomal RNA", at positions 153 to 1399 of the family's 1533-position model. Lineage: Bacteria; Bacillati; Mycoplasmatota; Mollicutes; Acholeplasmatales; Acholeplasmataceae. The record is from RNAcentral.
GAAACGACUGCUAAGACUGGAUAGGAGACAAGAAGGCAUCUUUUUGUUUUUAAAAGACCUAGCAAUAGGUAUGCUUAGGGAGGAGCUUGCGUCACAUUAGUUAGUUGGUGGGGUAAAGGCUUACCAAGACUAUGAUGUGUAGCCGGGCUGAGAGGUUGAACGGCCACAUUGGGACUGAGACACGGCCCAAACUCCUACGGGAGGCAGCAGUAGGGAAUUUUCGGCAAUGGAGGAAACUCUGACCGAGCAACGCCGCGUGAACGAUGAAGUAUUUCGGUACGUAAAGUUCUUUUAUUAGGGAAGAAUAAAUGAUGGAAAAAUCAUUCUGACGGUACCUAAUGAAUAAGCCCCGGCUAACUAUGUGCCAGCAGCCGCGGUAAUACAUAGGGGGCAAGCGUUAUCCGGAAUUAUUGGGCGUAAAGGGUGCGUAGGCGGUUAAAUAAGUUUAUGGUCUAAGUGCAAUGCUUAACGUUGUGAUGCUAUAAAAACUGUUUAGCUAGAGUAAGAUAGAGGCAAGUGGAAUUCCAUGUGUAGUGGUAAAAUGCGUAAAUAUAUGGAGGAACACCAGUAGCGAAGGCGGCUUGCUGGGUCUUUACUGACGCUGAGGCACGAAAGCGUGGGGAGCAAACAGGAUUAGAUACCCUGGUAGUCCACGCCGUAAACGAUGAGUACUAAAUGUUGGGUAAAACCAGUGUUGAAGUUAACACAUUAAGUACUCCGCCUGAGUAGUACGUACGCAAGUAUGAAACUUAAAGGAAUUGACGGGACUCCGCACAAGCGGUGGAUCAUGUUGUUUAAUUCGAAGGUACCCGAAAAACCUCACCAGGUCUUGACAUGCUUCUGCAAAGCUGUAGAAACACAGUGGAGGUUAUCAGUUGCACAGGUGGUGCAUGGUUGUCGUCAGCUCGUGUCGUGAGAUGUUGGGUUAAGUCCCGCAACGAGCGCAACCCUUAUUGUUAGUUGCCAGCACGUAAUGGUGGGGACUUUAGCAAGACUGCCAGUGAUAAAUUGGAGGAAGGUGGGGACGACGUCAAAUCAUCAUGCCCCUUAUGACCUGGGCUACAAACGUGAUACAAUGGCUGUUACAAAGGGUAGCUGAAACGCAAGUUUUUGGCGAAUCUCAAAAAAACAGUCUCAGUUCGGAUUGAAGUCUGCAACUCGACUUCAUGAAGUUGGAAUCGCUAGUAAUCGCGAAUCAGCAUGUCGCGGUGAAUACGUUCUCGGGGUUUGUACACACCGCCCGUCA